Long non-coding RNA from Pezoporus occidentalis (night parrot), 1859 nucleotides. RefSeq lists it as uncharacterized. The transcript is spliced from 2 exons. The record is from RefSeq and is a predicted model, not a curated record. NCBI's taxonomy places the organism in Eukaryota, Metazoa, Chordata, Aves, Psittaciformes, Psittacidae.
UCGCUCUAAGAUGAAUCCCAACUCAUCCUCUGGUUAAUAUCAGCCCAAGGUGUGCAGUGGGUUUGUAUUACUCGGUAUGAAAUUCAUAUUGCUGGGCUUAAUCCGUUUCAGAUCCCACAGCUGUCUCUGUGCCAGCUUGACCUGGAGCAGGGAUGCUCUUCCUUUGCUGGAGUCACCGGCGGCACUGACAUUCAGAGGAGAUAAAAGCAAGGCUCCUUCCAUGACCACAGAAAGCCUGAGGUAGAUUUGAGCUUCUUUAGCCCAACGUUUGCCUCGGAAUACCUCCUGGGGUGCUUUAUCUCUAAGGUCAAACCUGACCCCCUUAAGCACAGCCUUCUGUAUGUGUGCAGCUUGGAUCUUGACAUCGGUCAGCAGAAGACGACCGUUUCCCAACCAUUCAGUAGACAUCCACCUACAGCUUCACUGGAAAACUCUGCUCAUUCAAUACAGAACGCAUGCAGAGGACAACAAAAGGGCCCAGGUACUGAGCAUAGCUGCGUUUGGCUUAAACAUAAAGCAUGCCCUGAGCGAUCCCUGGAAGCCAAGCCUCACGUUUCGCACCAUCACUCACGUUCCAGUGCUCCAUCACUCAGGUAUUUCUAACACAAGCAAUGAGAUAAUCUCUGUCCCAUGAGAACUGCUCUGCUGCUGUCUCCCAUGGCUUGAAAGGGGAAGCAGAGCACUGCCUCAUCCCCUGUUAAUCUUUGCAGAGAUCCCUUCUCUGACUCAGUCUCACUAGGGACUGAAGAUCCCUCAAAUGACCUCAAAUCAGGUUCAGGAGGGCACCACUGAUUUGUGUCAAGAAGAGAAGGCCUCAUCUGAAGCUGCAGAGAGCCAUAAACAAAUGGAUAAGAAGAAAUAUGUAUUUUAGCCGCUAACACCCCCAAAGCAGAGUAAAUGAAUGAAACCACAGAGCAAUUGAACCCUCCAGCCUUGAAGAGGGCCCAUUUGGGAAAGCCUGGACAGGACAAGCUCCCCCAAACCACUGCCUGCAAGCACGGGGCAGGUCUGCUGCUGCUGAGCAAGAUGCAGCUAAUUGAAAAGCAAAGCAAGAGCCUGAUCCAGGGAAACCGAGGCCAAUGGAAUGAGCAACAGCGUUCCCUGGCGCGUGAGGAACUACUGAACGCAGACCUGCCAGCUAGCUGACAGCUCCAGGGACGACACACUAAUCUUAUUAAACUCGACCCAAAAGAAAAAGCCUUUUUAGAACUGGGGGAGUCGUGUCCAGCGAAAGCUGGGCUGGAUUAUUCCCUGGUGCCUCGGGGGUUUUUCCAUGUCAUCCCAAGCCUCAGGAAGGGGAUGUGGGAUGGGGAUGGGAUGGUCCGGUCUGCCCAGACCCUGCUGUCCUGCAGGGCUCAGCCCACCUGAAGCUCUGCCUCCUGCAGAUGUGGCUAACAGCUGGCAGCAGGAGCUCACCAGCAGGGUCUUCAUUAGAGGAACUGUUCUCUGGCUGCCUCAGGUGCCCCCCCCCAACCCAGGCCCCUGCUCCAGACACAUCAGCCACAGGCUCCACAACUGCUUCAGAUGGCUUUUCCUUGUGUGCGGUUAUCUGGACUUUUCCAUGCCUUGUUUCUCCCCUGCCCUGCUCCUGACAUCUGACUCACUGGGAGAUUUAUUACCUUUAAAAGCAUUCCUUGUGCAAGCCACACUCCAGAGCUCCCAUCUUCCUGCUCUCACUCUCAGCCCUGGAGCUCAUUUGGGCAUAGGUAUGAAAACCAUACCAUGAAACAGAGUUCUCCUUGGCAAAGCCACCACCUCUCUUUGCACAACGCGGAGAUUCCUCGAGGGAGGAAAGCUCUUUGUAGAGAACUGACCUGGACCACUCAGGAUACCGCUUUCAGCAUCUUCCCCUGUCUCAA